GAACGCUGGCGGCGUGCCUAAUACAUGCAAGUCGAACGGUCUUUCUAUGGAAGCUUGCUUCCACUGAGAAGAUAGUGGCGAACGGGUGAGUAACACGUGGGUAACCUGCCCAUAAGAGGGGGAUAACAUCCGGAAACGGGUGCUAAUACCGCAUAGUUUCUUGAUCGCAUGAUUGAGAAAGGAAAGACGGCCUUUGUGCUGUCGCUUAUGGAUGGACCCGCGGCGUAUUAGUUAGUUGGUGAGGUAACGGCUCACCAAGACGAUGAUACGUAGCCGACCUGAGAGGGUGAUCGGCCACAUUGGGACUGAGACACGGCCCAAACUCCUACGGGAGGCAGCAGUAGGGAAUCUUCCGCAAUGGACGAAAGUCUGACGGAGCAACGCCGCGUGAGUGAAAGAAGGUUUUCGGAUCGUAAAACUCUGUUGUCAGAGAAGAACAAGUUGGAGAGUAACUGCUCCAGCCUUGACGGUAUCUGACCAGAAAGCCACGGCUAACUACGUGCCAGCCGCCGC
RNAcentral lists this ribosomal RNA (513 nucleotides) under uncultured bacterium. RNAcentral describes it as "bacterial SSU rRNA". It matches the Rfam family "Bacterial small subunit ribosomal RNA", at positions 31 to 518 of the family's 1533-position model. The record is from RNAcentral.